GACGAACGCUGGCGGCGUGCUUAACACAUGCAAGUCGAACGGAAAGGCCCUGCUUUUGUGGGGUGCUCGAGUGGCGAACGGGUGAGUAACACGUGAGUAACCUGCCCUUGACUUUGGGAUAACUUCAGGAAACUGGGGCUAAUACCGGAUAGGAGCUCCUGCUGCAUGGUGGGGGUUGGAAAGUUUCGGCGGUUGGGGAUGGACUCGCGGCUUAUCAGCUUGUUGGUGGGGUAGUGGCUUACCAAGGCUUUGACGGGUAGCCGGCCUGAGAGGGUGACUGGCCACAUUGGGACUGAGAUACGGCCCAGACUCCUACGGGAGGCAGCAGCGGGGAAUAUUGCACAAUGGGCGGAAGCCUGAUGCAGCAACGCCGCGUGCGGGAUGACGGCCUUCGGGUUGUAAACCGCUUUCGCCUGUGACGAAGCGUGAGUGACGGUAAUGGGUAAAGAAGCACCGGCUAACUACGUG
RNAcentral lists this ribosomal RNA (468 nucleotides) under uncultured bacterium. RNAcentral describes it as "partial 16S ribosomal RNA". It matches the Rfam family "Bacterial small subunit ribosomal RNA", at positions 28 to 507 of the family's 1533-position model. The record is from RNAcentral.